GAUGAACGCUGGCGGCGUGCCUAAUACAUGCAAGUCGAGCGAACAGACGAGGAGCUUGCUCCUCUGACGUUAGCGGCGGACGGGUGAGUAACACGUGGAUAACCUACCUAUAAGACUGGGAUAACUUCGGGAAACCGGAGCUAAUACCGGAUAAUAUAUUGAACCGCAUGGUUCAAUAGUGAAAGACGGUUUUGCUGUCACUUAUAGUUGAUUCCGCGCCGCUUUAGCUAGUUGGUAAGGUAACGGCUUACCAAGGCGACGAUGCGUAGCCGACCUGAGAGGGUGAUCGGCCACACUGGAACUGAGACACGGUCCAGACUCCUACGGGAGGCAGCAGUAGGGAAUCUUCCGCAAUGGGCGAAAGCCUGACGGAGCAACGCCGCGUGAGUGAUGAAGGUCUUCGGAUCGUAAAACUCUGUUAUUAGGGAAGAACAAAUGUGUAAGUAACUAUGCACGUCUUGACGGUACCUAAUCAGAAAGCCACGGCUAACUACGUG
RNAcentral lists this ribosomal RNA (497 nucleotides) under uncultured bacterium. Its description in RNAcentral is "partial 16S ribosomal RNA". It matches the Rfam family "Bacterial small subunit ribosomal RNA", at positions 28 to 507 of the family's 1533-position model. The record is from RNAcentral.